GUGUAUAUAUGCGUCUCAAGCAAUCCAUCAAUCCAAUAAGCUAAGCCAUUUCUCCUAGUCUUCUCUUCCGAUCGAUAUAGUAUAGACAUCAAAGCCCAGGUUAGCCAGCAGCCAUGGGAAGCAACGAUGGUCUUAUUAAGAGUGUGAUCAUCUGCGUCCUCAUACUGGGGCUACUCCUGGAGCACCAGGCAGUCCAAGUAGAUGCCAGGCAGAGUUGCUGCAGCAGCACCGAGGGAAGGAGAUGCUACUUGAGAUGCCGUUUAACAGUGGAAGCCUGCUUGGAGGAAUGUGGAUGUAUAAUCAUUUCUGGCUCAACUUGUCCAAGUGCCUUCCCUUAUCCACCUCUCGCGGCUGACUCCCGUAAAGAGAACUCAGGUGAUGCUGUCGUUGCAGCCUAAUUAAUCAUGCAUGUACGUAUACGUGCAUGAUCCAUGUCCAAGAGCCAACUUCAUGUUGGUAGCUAGUACUGCUUCGUGUUAAAUAAAUUGGGUUCGAUAUAAUCCUUCCAACCGUAUCCAAGCCCAGUACGUGUGUGUUUUAUCCUCCUCGUUCCAAUAAGAGUCAUCACGCGAUGAAUAUAUUUGUACCCUUUGCCCUUUGGCCAAUUUAUAUGAACGCUACAAGUAAUGAAAUUUGUGUUACAUUUGCUUCU
Brachypodium distachyon (stiff brome) is the source of this 652-nucleotide long non-coding RNA. RefSeq lists it as uncharacterized. The transcript has 2 exons. The record is from RefSeq and is a predicted model, not a curated record. Lineage: Eukaryota; Viridiplantae; Streptophyta; Magnoliopsida; Poales; Poaceae.